RNAcentral lists this ribosomal RNA (213 nucleotides) under uncultured Carnobacterium sp. RNAcentral describes it as "partial 16S ribosomal RNA". It matches the Rfam family "Bacterial small subunit ribosomal RNA", at positions 900 to 1110 of the family's 1533-position model. Lineage: Bacteria; Bacillati; Bacillota; Bacilli; Lactobacillales; Carnobacteriaceae. The record is from RNAcentral.
CUCAAAGGAAUUGACGGGGACCCGCACAAGCGGUGGAGCAUGUGGUUUAAUUCGAAGCAACGCGAAGAACCUUACCAGGUCUUGACAUCCUUUGACCACUCUAGAGAUAGAGUCUUUCCCGUUCGGGGACAAAGUGACAGGUGGUGCAUGGUUGUCGUCAGCUCGUGUCGUGAGAUGUUGGGUUAAGUCCCGCAACGAGCGUCGACGCGGCCG